GGAUGUGAGGGCGAUCUGGCUGCGACAUCUGUCACCCCAUUGAUCGCCAGGGUUGAUUCGGCUGAUCUGGCUGGCUAGGCGGGUGUCCCCCUCCUCCCUCACCGAUCCAUGUGCGUCCCUCCCGAAGCUGCGCGCUCGAAGAGGACAACCUUCCCCCCAGAAGAGAAGACCAGUCUUCGGUCAAGGGUAUACGAGUAGCUGCGCUCCCCUGCUAGAACCUCCAAACAAGCUCUCAAAUAUUAGUUGCUCUAUUCAAAUGCCACACAACUGAAAAUGAUAAGACUGAGAUAUAAUAAAGGACUUUGGCAUUUUCAUUCAUU
RNAcentral lists this small nuclear RNA (320 nucleotides) under Myotis davidii. RNAcentral describes it as "7SK RNA". It matches the Rfam family "7SK RNA". Rfam says of the family: 7SK was discovered as an abundant small nuclear RNA in the mid-70s but a possible function has only recently been suggested. Two independent studies have found that 7SK RNA binds the CDK9/cyclin T complex (known as elongation factor P-TEFb). P-TEFb activates transcription by phosphorylating the C-terminal domain of RNA polymerase II. The record is from Rfam by way of RNAcentral. Lineage: Eukaryota; Metazoa; Chordata; Mammalia; Chiroptera; Vespertilionidae.